RNAcentral lists this ribosomal RNA (253 nucleotides) under uncultured bacterium. RNAcentral's name for it is "partial 16S ribosomal RNA". It matches the Rfam family "Bacterial small subunit ribosomal RNA", at positions 524 to 776 of the family's 1533-position model. The record is from RNAcentral.
UACGUAGGAGGCAAGCGUUGUCCGGAAUUACUGGGCGUAAAGCGCGUGUAGGUGGUGGGACAAGUCUGCUGUGAAAGCGCCUGGCUUAACCGGGCGAGGUCGGCGGAAACUGUCCGACUCGAGGACGGUAGAGGGGGGUGGAAUUCCCGGUGUAGUGGUGAAAUGCGUAGAGAUCGGGAGGAACACCGGUGGCGAAGGCGGAUCUCUGGGCCAUAACUGACGCUGAGGAGCGAAAGCAUGGGGAGCGAACAGG